AUUCCAGCUCCAAUAGCGUAUAUUAAAGUUGUUGCGGUUAAAAAGCUCGUAGUUGGAUUUCUGCCGAGGAUGACCGGUCCGCCCUGUGGGUGUGCAUCUGGCUCAGCCUUGGCAUCUUCCUGAAGAACGUAGCUGCACUUGACUGUGUGGUGCGGUAUUUAGGACAUUUACUUUGAGGAAAUUAGAGUGUUUCAAGCAAGCGCACGCUUUGAAUACAUUAGCAUGGAAUAAUAAGAUAGGACCUCGGUUCUAUUUUGUUGGUUUCUAGAGCUGAGGUAAUGAUUGAUAGGGAUAGUUGGGGGUGCUAGUACUGAGCGGCCAGAGGUGAAAUUCUUGGAUUCGCUCAAGACUAACUUAUGCGAAAGCAUUCACCAAGGAUGUUUUCAUCG
This 389-nucleotide ribosomal RNA is filed under the name Biecheleria sp. RNAcentral describes it as "partial small subunit ribosomal RNA". It matches the Rfam family "Eukaryotic small subunit ribosomal RNA", at positions 582 to 975 of the family's 1831-position model. Lineage: Eukaryota; Dinophyceae; Suessiales; Biecheleriaceae. The record is from RNAcentral.